This 538-nucleotide ribosomal RNA is filed under the name Sphingobium rhizovicinum. RNAcentral's name for it is "bacterial SSU rRNA". It matches the Rfam family "Bacterial small subunit ribosomal RNA", at positions 105 to 678 of the family's 1533-position model. The record is from RNAcentral. Lineage: Bacteria; Pseudomonadati; Pseudomonadota; Alphaproteobacteria; Sphingomonadales; Sphingobiaceae.
GGUGCGUAACGCGUGGGAAUCUGCCCUUGGGUUCGGAAUAACAUCGGGAAACUGAUGCUAAUACCGGAUGAUGACGAAAGUCCAAAGAUUUAUCGCCCAAGGAUGAGCCCGCGUAGGAUUAGCUAGUUGGUGGGGUAAAGGCCCACCAAGGCGACGAUCCUUAACUGGUCUGAGAGGAUGAUCAGCCACACUGGGACUGAAACACGGCCCAGACUCCUACGGGAGGCAGCAGUAGGGAAUAUUGGACAAUGGGGGCAACCCUGAUCCAGCAAUGCCGCGUGAGUGAUGAAGGCCUUAGGGUUGUAAAGCUCUUUUACCCGGGAUGAUAAUGACAGUACCGGGAGAAUAAGCCCCGGCUAACUCCGUGCCAGCAGCCGCGGUAAUACGGAGGGGGCUAGCGUUGUUCGGAAUUACUGGGCGUAAAGCGCACGUAGGCGGCGAUUUAAGUCAGAGGUGAAAGCCCGGGGCUCAACCCCGGAACUGCCUUUGAGACUGGAUUGCUAGAAUCUUGGAGAGGCGGGUGGAAUUCCGAGUGUAG